GGAGCUAUUAAGGUUGAUGAGUACUCACGCACCAACAUACCUAGCAUAUGGGCUGUUGGUGAUGUCACAAACCGAAUGAAUCUUACCCCUGUGGCCUUAAUGGAGGGAACAUGCUUUGCAAAAACUGUUUUUGGUGGGCAACCUUGCAAACCAGAUUAUAGGGAUGUACCAAGUGCUGUAUUUAGCAUACCACCUUUGUCUGUAGUAGGCCUCAGUGAAGAGCAGGCAAUA
Molecule: unclassified non-coding RNA, 231 nt
Filed under: Hevea brasiliensis (rubber tree)
Lineage: Eukaryota; Viridiplantae; Streptophyta; Magnoliopsida; Malpighiales; Euphorbiaceae
Source: RNAcentral